CAUAUCGCAACUAACUAUGAUUAGAAAGCGAAAUGUUCAGCAUCUAAUGCCAUCAAUGGGUCUAAACCACCUGC
This 74-nucleotide transfer RNA is filed under the name Acinetobacter baumannii BJAB07104. Its description in RNAcentral is "tRNA-Asp". The record is from RNAcentral. Lineage: Bacteria; Pseudomonadati; Pseudomonadota; Gammaproteobacteria; Moraxellales; Moraxellaceae.